This 250-nucleotide ribosomal RNA is filed under the name uncultured bacterium. RNAcentral's name for it is "partial 16S ribosomal RNA". It matches the Rfam family "Bacterial small subunit ribosomal RNA", at positions 57 to 305 of the family's 1533-position model. The record is from RNAcentral.
GCAAGUCGAGCGGUAACAUUUCUAGCUUGCUAGAAGAUGACGAGCGGCGGACGGGUGAGUAAUGCUUGGGAAUAUGCCUUAUGGUGGGGGACAACAGUUGGAAACGACUGCUAAUACCGCAUAACGUCUACGGACCAAAGGGGGGGAUCUUCGGACCUCACGCCAAAAGAUUAGCCCAAGUGGGAUUAGCUAGUUGGUGAGGUAAUGGCUCACCAAGGCGACGAUCUCUAGCUGGUUUGAGAGGAUGAUC